This 795-nucleotide ribosomal RNA is filed under the name uncultured archaeon. RNAcentral describes it as "bacterial SSU rRNA". It matches the Rfam family "Archaeal small subunit ribosomal RNA", at positions 85 to 878 of the family's 1478-position model. The record is from RNAcentral.
ACUGCUCAGUAACACGUGGAUAACCUGCCCUUGGGUCCGGCAUAACCCCGGGAAACUGGGGAUAAUUCCGGAUAACGCAUAUGUGCUGGAAUGCUUUAUGCGUCAAAUGGAUUCGUCUGCCCAAGGAUGGGUCUGCGGCCUAUCAGGUAGUAGUGGGUGUAAUGUACCUACUAGCCGACAACGGGUACGGGUUGUGAGAGCAAGAGCCCGGAGAUGGAUUCUGAGACAUGAAUCCAGGCCCUACGGGGCGCAGCAGGCGCGAAAACUUUACAAUGCGGGAAACCGUGAUAAGGGGACACCGAGUGUCAGCAUCAUAUGCUGGCUGUCCAGGUGUGUAAAAUACACCUGUUAGCAAGGGCCGGGCAAGACCGGUGCCAGCCGCCGCGGUAACACCGGCGGCCCGAGUGGUGAUCGUGAUUAUUGGGUCUAAAGGGUCCGUAGCCGGUUUGGUCAGUCCUCCGGGAAAUCUGAUAGCUCAACUAUUAGGCUAUCGGGGGAUACUACCAGACUUGGAACCGGGAGAGGUAAGAGGUACUACAGGGGUAGGAGUGAAAUCUUGUAAUCCCUGUGAGACCACCUGUGGCGAAGGCGUCUUACCAGAACGGGUUCGACGGUGAGGGACGAAAGCUGGGGGCACGAACCGGAUUAGAUACCCGGGUAGUCCCAGCCGUAAACGAUGCUCGCUAGGUGUCAGGCAUGGCGCGACCGUGUCUGGUGCCGCAGGGAAGCCGUGAAGCGAGCCACCUGGGAAGUACGGCCGCAAGGCUGAAACUUAAAGGAAUUGGCGGGGGAGCA